UGCGUAGGCGGUUUGAUAAGUUAGAGGUGAAAGCUCGGGGCUCAACUCCGGAACUGCCUCUAAUACUGUUGAACUAGAGAGUAGAUGCGGUAGGCGGAAUGUAUGGUGUAGCGGUGAAAUGCGUAGAGAUCAUACAGAACACCGAUUGCGAAGGCAGCUUACCAAACUAUAUCUGACGUUGAGGCACGAAAGCGUGGGUAGCAAACAGGAUUAGAUACCCCGGUA
This 225-nucleotide ribosomal RNA is filed under the name uncultured Alistipes sp. RNAcentral's name for it is "partial 16S ribosomal RNA". It matches the Rfam family "Bacterial small subunit ribosomal RNA", at positions 568 to 792 of the family's 1533-position model. Lineage: Bacteria; Pseudomonadati; Bacteroidota; Bacteroidia; Bacteroidales; Rikenellaceae. The record is from RNAcentral.